Molecule: ribosomal RNA, 954 nt
Filed under: uncultured Polaribacter sp.
Lineage: Bacteria; Pseudomonadati; Bacteroidota; Flavobacteriia; Flavobacteriales; Flavobacteriaceae
Description: bacterial SSU rRNA
Rfam family: Bacterial small subunit ribosomal RNA
Source: RNAcentral
UGAAGAGUUUGAUCCUGGCUCAGGAUGAACGCUAGCGGCAGGCUUAACACAUGCAAGUCGAGGGGUAACAUUAGUGCUUGCACUAGAUGACGACCGGCGCACGGGUGCGUAACGCGUAUAGAAUCUACCUUUUACAGGGGGAUAGCCUUUAGAAAUGAAGAUUAAUAUCCCAUAGUAUUGCGAAGUGGCAUCACUUUGUAAUUAAAGAUUUAUCGGUAAAAGAUGACUAUGCGUCCUAUUAGUUAGUUGGUAAGGUAACGGCUUACCAAGACUUCGAUAGGUAGGGGUCCUGAGAGGGAGAUCCCCCACACUGGUACUGAGACACGGACCAGACUCCUACGGGAGGCAGCAGUGAGGAAUAUUGGGCAAUGGAGGUAACUCUGACCCAGCCAUGCCGCGUGCAGGAAGACUGCCCUAUGGGUUGUAAACUGCUUUUAUACAGGAAGAAACACUGCUACGUGUAGCAGCUUGACGGUACUGUAAGAAUAAGGACCGGCUAACUCCGUGCCAGCAGCCGCGGUAAUACGGAGGGUCCGAGCGUUAUCCGGAAUCAUUGGGUUUAAAGGGUCCGCAGGCGGUCAAUUAAGUCAGAGGUGAAAUCCCAUAGCUUAACUAUGGAACUGCCUUUGAUACUGGUUGACUUGAGUCAUAUGGAAGUAGAUAGAAUGUGUAGUGUAGCGGUGAAAUGCAUAGAUAUUACACAGAAUACCGAUUGCGAAGGCAGUCUACUACGUAUGUACUGACGCUCAUGGACGAAAGCGUGGGGAGCGAACAGGAUUAGAUACCCUGGUAGUCCACGCCGUAAACGAUGGACACUAGUUGUUGGGCAUUAGCUCAGUGACUAAGCGAAAGUGAUAAGUGUCCCACCUGGGGAGUACGAUCGCAAGAUUGAAACUCAAAGGAAUUGACGGGGGCCCGCACAAGCGGUGGAGCAUGUGGUUUAAUUCGAUGAUA